This 756-nucleotide ribosomal RNA is filed under the name Stylephorus chordatus (tube-eye). Its description in RNAcentral is "16S rRNA". It matches the Rfam family "Bacterial large subunit ribosomal RNA", at positions 1813 to 2830 of the family's 2925-position model. Lineage: Eukaryota; Metazoa; Chordata; Actinopteri; Stylephoriformes; Stylephoridae. The record is from RNAcentral.
ACAUCGCCUCUUGAUCUCUAAACAUAAGAGGUCCCGCCUGCCCUGUGACUAUAAGUUUAACGGCCGCGGUAUCUUAACCGUGCAAAGGUAGCGCAAUCACUUGUCUUUUAAAUGAAGACCUGUAUGAAUGGCAUAACGAGGGCUUAGCUGUCUCCCCCCUCCAGUCAAUGAAACUGACCUCCCCGUGCAGAGGCGGGGAUUAUUACAUAAGACGAGAAGACCCUGUGGAGCUUUAGACCUAAAGUAGUGCAUGUCUAAAAUACUAGAAAAUAAGAAAAAACCCAAUGCCCCCUACUGAAGUGUCUUUGGUUGGGGCGACCGCGGGGUAAAACAAAACCCCCAUGUAGACCGGGGAAACAUCCCUAAAACCCAGAGCAACCACUCUAAGAAACAAAACCUUUGACUUUUUCUGAUCCGGCAUAGCCGAUCAACGAACCGAGUUACCCCAGGGAUAACAGCGCAAUCCUCUCUCAGAGCCCAUAUCGACGAGGGGGUUUACGACCUCGAUGUUGGAUCAGGACAUCCUAAUGGUGCAGCCGCUAUUAAGGGUUCGUUUGUUCAACGAUUAAAGUCCUACGUGAUCUGAGUUCAGACCGGAGUAAUCCAGGUCAGUUUCUAUCUAUGAUAAGCCCUUUUCCAGUACGAAAGGACCGAAUUCUAAAGGGGGGCCUAUACUAACAGCACGCCCCUCCCCCUCCCGCUGACAUCAUAUAAAGCGGAUAAGGGGGCUUAACCCUUACCCAAAAAUAAUGGAAU